AUACUUACCUGGCAGGAGAGACACCAUGAUCAUGAAGGUGGUUUUCCCAGGGUGAGGCUCAUCCAUUGCACUCCGGGUGUGCUGACCCCUGCGAUUUCCCCAAAUGCGGGAAACUCGACUGCAUAAUUUGCAGUAAAA
Molecule: small nuclear RNA, 138 nt
Filed under: Salvator merianae (Argentine black and white tegu)
Lineage: Eukaryota; Metazoa; Chordata; Lepidosauria; Squamata; Teiidae
Description: U1 spliceosomal RNA (ENSSMRG00000022454.1)
Rfam family: U1 spliceosomal RNA
About the family: U1 is a small nuclear RNA (snRNA) component of the spliceosome (involved in pre-mRNA splicing). Its 5' end forms complementary base pairs with the 5' splice junction, thus defining the 5' donor site of an intron.
Source: RNAcentral